Molecule: small RNA, 1194 nt
Filed under: uncultured fungus
Lineage: Eukaryota; Fungi
Description: eukaryotic LSU rRNA
Rfam family: Eukaryotic large subunit ribosomal RNA (bases 757-1194)
Source: RNAcentral
UCCGUAGGUGAACCUGCGGAGGGAUCAUUAACAAAUCAAACACACAUACCUGUGUCAAUGUCUGUGCCGAGCGGGGGGUGGCGCAUGGUUGCGCGUGGUACCGUCACUACUACUGGGAAUGGGGAAGCACCUGGUGGUUGUGGGUGCGAUGCGUGGCCAGGCGCUGCCUGAUGGGGAGUGGUGCCUAUAUGUAUGUAUGGGUACGCCUGCCGGCCAACAACUACAAACCAUGUCAGAGUUAUACACAUAUAAUGUAAUAACAACUUUUAACAAUGGAUCUCUUGGCUCUUGCAACGAUGAAGAACGCAGCAAAAUGCGAUAUGUCGUGUGAUCUGCGGGCUUCGUGAAUCAUUAAAUCUUUGAACGCAACUUGCACCAUGUGUCUACGCACAUGGUAUACUUGUUUGAGUAUCACAUUCAUCUAUCACACUGGGUAUGUGUGGACUUGAGGUGUGUGUGCGUGCUUGCUCAUUAGCAGUAAUGGGUAACAACACUCCCUUUAAAUGUAGGUCUGUCGGGACAUGUCACGUCUGUGCAUGCCACUAUCGGGAUAACAUCCAUCGAUGGGGUACGCAUGGCCAUAUGUGUGUGUUUCAUGGACAAGGACGUCGAGGGCAUUGCCUGUAUGUGUGGACAUACGGAGGAUGCCAUUGACAUGUGUCUUGUGUCGUCGUCGUCGCCGCCGGUAAGUGUGUGUGUGUGUGUCAACACGCGCACACUUCUAGCGUACGCAUGUGAUGCGCAGGAUACCUACAUGGAUCUCAAAUCAAGUAAGAAUACCCGCUGAACUUAAGCAUAUCAGUAAGCGGAGGAAAAGAAACUAACAAGGAUUCCCGUAGUAACGGCGAGUGAACGGGGAAGAGCUCAAAUUUAAAAUCUGGUACCUUCGGUGCCCGAAUUGUAUUUGAUAGAUGUGUGAUGUGGAACAGACGCGUGGCUCAAGUCCUCUGGAAAGGGGCGCCUAAGAGGGUGAUAGCCCCGUGGAGGCUACGCGUAUACACUGGACCAGUAUCUUCACACGUCGACGAGUCGGAUUGUUUGGGAAUGCAGUCCAAAAUGGGUGGUACGAGCCAUCUAAAGCUAAAUAACGGCAAGAGACCGAUAGCGAACAAGUACCGUGAGGGAAAGAUGAAAAGCACUUUGAAAAGAGAGUUAAAUAGUACGUGAAAUUGUUAAAAGGGAAACGCUUGAAGU